This 469-nucleotide ribosomal RNA is filed under the name uncultured bacterium. RNAcentral's name for it is "partial 16S ribosomal RNA". It matches the Rfam family "Bacterial small subunit ribosomal RNA", at positions 28 to 507 of the family's 1533-position model. The record is from RNAcentral.
GACGAACGCUGGCGGCGUGCUUAACACAUGCAAGUCGAACGAUGAAGCACCAGCUUGCUGGUGUGGAUUAGUGGCGAACGGGUGAGUAACACGUGAGUAACCUGCCCCUCACUCUGGGAUAAGCCUGGGAAACUGGGUCUAAUACUGGAUACGACCGAUCUCCGCAUGGAGUGUUGGUGGAAAGUUUUUGUGGUGGGGGAUGUACUCGCGGCCUAUCAGCUUGUUGGUGGGGUAGUGGCCUACCAAGGCGACGACGGGUAGCCGGCCUGAGAGGGCGACCGGCCACACUGGGACUGAGACACGGCCCAGACUCCUACGGGAGGCAGCAGUGGGGAAUAUUGCACAAUGGGCGAAAGCCUGAUGCAGCGACGCCGCGUGAGGGAUGACGGCCUUCGGGUUGUAAACCUCUUUCACCAGGGACGAAGCUAACGUGACGGUACCUGGAGAAGAAGCACCGGCUAACUACGUG